RNAcentral lists this ribosomal RNA (497 nucleotides) under uncultured bacterium. Its description in RNAcentral is "partial 16S ribosomal RNA". It matches the Rfam family "Bacterial small subunit ribosomal RNA", at positions 28 to 507 of the family's 1533-position model. The record is from RNAcentral.
GAUGAACGCUGGCGGCGUGCCUAAUACAUGCAAGUCGAGCGAACAGAUGAGGAGCUUGCUCCUCUGACGUUAGCGGCGGACGGGUGAGUAACACGUGGAUAACCUACCUAUAAGACUGGGAUAACUUCGGGAAACCGGAGCUAAUACCGGAUAAUAUAUUGAACCGCAUGGUUCAAUAGUGAAAGACGGUCUUGCUGUCACUUAUAGAUGGAUCCGCGCCGCAUUAGCUAGUUGGUAAGGUAACGGCUUACCAAGGCAACGAUGCGUAGCCGACCUGAGAGGGUGAUCGGCCACACUGGAACUGAGCCACGGUCCAGACUCCUACGGGAGGCAGCAGUAGGGAAUGUUCCGCAAUGGGCGAAAGCCUGACGGAGCAACGCCGCGUGAGUGAUGAAGGUCUUCGGAUCGUAAAACUCUGUUAUUAGGGAAGAACAAAUGUGUAAGUAACCAUGCACGGCGUGACGGUACCGAAUCAGAAAGCCACGGCUAACUACGUG